GCUCAGAAUGAACGCUGGCGGCGUGCUUAACACAUGCAAGUCGAACGGGACUGUGGGGGCAACUCUGCAGUCUAGUGGCGGACGGGUGAGUAACACGUGGGUAACCUGCCCGGAAGUGGGGAAUACCUCGGGGAAACUCGAGCUAAUACCGCAUGACAUCUUCGGGACGAAAGUCCUGACGAUCAAAGCGGGGUCGCAAGAUCUCGCGCUACCGGAUGGGCCCGCGCCCGAUUAGCUAGUUGGUGGGGUAACGGCUCACCAAGGCGACGAUCGGUAACCGGCCUGAGAGGGCGAUCGGUCACACCGGAACUGAGACACGGUCCGGACUCCUACGGGAGGCAGCAGUGGGGAAUCUUGCGCAAUGGGCGAAAGCCUGACGCAGCAACGCCGCGUGGAGGAUGAAGGCCCUUGGGUUGUAAACUCCUGUCGGCUGGGAAGAAAUCGUUCGGGGCUAGUACCUCCGGACGUUGACUGUACCAGCAAAGGAAGCCCCGGCUAACUCUGUGCCAGCAGCCGCGGUAAUACAGAGGGGGCCAGCGUUAUUCGGAAUUAUUGGGCGUAAAGGGCGCGUAGGCGGCCAUGCGUGUCUCCCGUGAAAUCCCUCGGCUUAACUGAGGACGUGCGGGAGAAACUGCAAGGCUCGAGUCCGGGAGAGGGGGGUGGAAUUCCCAGUGUAGCGGUGAAAUGCGUAGAUAUUGGGAGGAACACCGGUGGCGAAGGCGGCCCCCUGGACCGGUACUGACGCUGAGGCGCGAAAGCGUGGGUAGCAAACGGGAUUAGAUACCCCGGUAGUCCACGCCGUAAACGAUGGGCACUUGGUGUCGCGGGUAUCGACCCCUGCGGUGCCGAAGCUAACGCAUUAAGUGCCCCGCCUGGGGAGUACGGUCGCAAGGCUG
RNAcentral lists this ribosomal RNA (896 nucleotides) under uncultured bacterium. RNAcentral describes it as "bacterial SSU rRNA". It matches the Rfam family "Bacterial small subunit ribosomal RNA", at positions 22 to 896 of the family's 1533-position model. The record is from RNAcentral.